RNAcentral lists this ribosomal RNA (66 nucleotides) under Melampodium glabribracteatum. The record is from RNAcentral. Lineage: Eukaryota; Viridiplantae; Streptophyta; Magnoliopsida; Asterales; Asteraceae.
GUUAAGAUUUGGGCGAGAGUAGUACUAGGAUGGGUGACCCCCUGGGAAGUCCUCGUGUUGCAACCC